This 250-nucleotide ribosomal RNA is filed under the name uncultured Anaerolineaceae bacterium. RNAcentral's name for it is "partial 16S ribosomal RNA". It matches the Rfam family "Bacterial small subunit ribosomal RNA", at positions 1131 to 1382 of the family's 1533-position model. Lineage: Bacteria; Bacillati; Chloroflexota; Anaerolineae; Anaerolineales; Anaerolineaceae. The record is from RNAcentral.
AUGUGUCACACGGGACUGCCGGUUUUAAGCCGGAGGAAGGUGGGGAUGACGUCAAGUCAGCAUGGCCUUUAUAUCCUGGGCUACACACACGCUACAAUGGUCGGUACAAUAGGUUGCCAAGCCGCGAGGCGGAGCCAAUCCAAAAAAGCCGGCCUCAGUUCAGAUUGUAGGCUGCAACUCGCCUGCAUGAAGAUGGAGUUGCUAGUAACCGCAGGUCAGCAAUACUGCGGUGAAUACGUUCCCGGGUCUU